Molecule: long non-coding RNA, 4017 nt
Organism: Diceros bicornis minor
Lineage: Eukaryota; Metazoa; Chordata; Mammalia; Perissodactyla; Rhinocerotidae
Exons: 3
Source: RefSeq, a predicted model, not a curated record
UGUAGCCUUGGUCUGCGCCACCGUCUCUGCUCGGGGCACCUCGGGCCACCAUGGCCACCCCACAGCCACCAGCGCCCACCUUAUGGCCUCCACCACCCUCUCACCCCCACCCUGCAGCCACCCUGCUCUCCACUGAUUUGGGCUAGUGCCAACAAUGUCAAGUAACAGGGUAGUCUGGAAACGCUCUUCCUUAGGUCACUAUCUUCUUGGAUUUGCUGUGACUUUUCUGCUCUUUUGAUGGCAGGGAGCCUGCCUUGAUCUCUGCAAUCAGGAAUGUGGCUGAGCAAAUGCAGCUUGUACCUGCUGGAUGGAUACACCUUCCAGAUGCUCUGUUGCUAGAAGGUUCCUGGCAGUGCAGGGAAAGGUGGCUCUGCACAUGGAGCCUCCACAUAAUGGGCUCAAAACAUCUGGUCCAGUGGUUAAAAGCUGUUCACAGGGGUGACUGGACCCCACUAAGCAUUCUUUCGUCUGUAGUGAAUAUUUCACCAAAAACAGCUCUAGGAAAGGCUGGAGGAUCAGUACUAUGUGCUCAAGCCACGGCCACACCCUCCAUCUUCCACCUGACCGAGAAGGGGGGGCUGAAGGCCAUGGCCGCCCCAGGAGAAAGGACACUAGGAAGGCCACCGGGGGCCUGAGGAACAUGCGUGUGAAGCAGAUGGGAAAGGAGCUGCAGGUUCAUUGUGGUCCUUGAGGGAAAAGCUGAGGGCCCAGCCGUGGUCCCGCAAGUGGAAGUAACCUGCUCUGCAGGGUGAACACGCACCCAGUGCCGCCCAGGAAGCUGCCAGUCAGUAUUGGGCACAGAGUCUCUGGAAGGAACUCCAGGAGACAGUGUGGCCUCCACAGCAUUAGGCAGCCAAGGAGAUGCAAACAAGUCUGCUGUAGAUGCUGGCGAUGAGACCCCCUCUUCCCAGCCAGGGCCUGCUGGGUAAGAGUGGCAUUUCCGUGGGUGACUUUAUCCCUCAGGAUCGGGGCAUGCAGAUUUAUUGGCUGGCUUCCUUCUUACAGUUUCUUCUCAGAGCACACUCAAGAGAGGCCAUCUGUCCCUUGAGAGGCUGUUGACCAAAAGAGGCUGAAGAGAGAUGUGGAGCUCAGCUGCAGCGGGACCAGCCUGGGGCCUGAUGAGAGCUUGGACCAGAACCCCCACGUUCAUCAUUCACAAUGAUGCCUCAGAAACCCUCCCAGAGCCCCUCCACCCUCCGACGGAUGUCACCCUGAAGCCAGCUGCAGAAGCUGUGUGGGGCGAGCACAGCGACACCAGCCCUACGUCCCUCAGCUGCGUCAUCCUGUCAGCACUGGGGGCCCAAGAUCUCCUCGACUGCUGCACUCCUACUGCUUCUGCUCCCAGGGGAACAGGAGCACGGGCGCCGCCUGCGGGAGCAGGUGGAGAAGAACGGCGAGCUGAAGAGGGUCAGCCGCCGACAGCCAGGUGCACACGCUGCAGGAGGAGCUGGACGAGCUAAAGGAAGGGGGCUCCCUGCCUUAGCAGCCUGCUGCCCCCAGCCGAGAUUCUGUACAACAGAACAGCCGGGCCGGUGGCCUGCAAGUUCCAGGGUUUGAGAGGUUUGCCCUCCAGAAAGCCGGUGAUGAUUGGCCUUCUCACAGGACGUGGUACACUGUCCCUGAGCUGUGAGUGUCACAACGUUGUAAAUCCUCUGGCAGUUCUGUCAGGGCCCGUCGUUGGCAUUUCUGUGACCAGUGAGGGCGAACAUUUUUCCGUGUUCAUUAUCUGUCACUUCCCUGACUGUGCUGUCGCCUGCCUUGCUCACUGAGCUCUGAACCUUCCUGGUGGAACGUUCACCAGAGAGGACGUCCAGAGAGGACGUUCACUCUCUAUCCAGUGUGGUUGCACGUUCCCUCAGUGUACCCCUUGAGUACUUGCUUCAAAAAUAUGUUUUCUUCACAUUCUUUGAUUCUUUGUAUAUAUAAUCUAGAUUUAACCUGGAGCUUUAAAAAUGUUUUAUUGUGGAAAACCUUUAACAUACACAAAUUAAACAGAAAAGUGUGAUAGCCCCCCAUGUCCCUAUUACCCAGCUUCAACACUUAUUAAUAUUCUGAUAUUCUUGUUUCCUCCAUAUUUCUACCCACUCCCUACCUUCCAUUGAUUAAUUUUUAAUUAAUAGAUUGUUUUUAGGAAAGUUUUAGAUGGACAGAGAAAUUCAGCAGACAGUGCGGAGCGUUUCUCCCUCCUCCCCCACAGUUUCCCCUACUGUUAACAUCUUGCAUGACCACCUGUGUUAGUGCGGUUCAUUCCUUACAAGUGAGGAGCUGAUGCGGAUACAGUGUUCGUAACCAAGUCAGUGGUUUACAUUAGGGUUCACUGUCUCACUGUCACGUACUUGGAUUUUGACAAAUGCAUAAUCUCAUGUAUCCACCGUGACAGUAUCCUACAGAAGAGUUGGAUUGCCCUAAAAUCUCUGUGCUCUGCCUCUUCAUCCCUUGCCUUCCAACUCCUGGCAACACUGAUCUUUAUACUGUUUCUAUGGUUUUGCCUUGUCUAGAAUGUCAUGUGAUUGGAAUAUAUGAAAACUAUGGAACAGAGUAUAUAACCUUCUCCAGUUGGGUUCUUUCACUUAGCAAUAUGUAUUUAAAAGUCCACUAUGUCUUUUUGUGGCUUGAUAGCUAAUUUCUUUUUUUUUUCUUUUUGUAUAUUGAGUUAAAAUAUACAUAACAAAAAGCGUGACAUUUUAACCAUUUUUAAGUGUAUACUUCAGUGGCGUUAAACACAUUUACGCUGUUGCACAGUCAUCGCCACCAUUCAUCCCCAUAACUCUUAUAAAUCUGAAACUCUAUACCUAUUAAAGAGUAAGUCUCCCUUCUCCCCUCCCCCCAGCUCUUGGCAGCCACCAUUCCACUUUCCAUCUCUGUGAUUUUGACUAAUCUCAGUUCCUCAUGUUAGUGGAAUCAUACAGUAUUUUUCUUUUUGUGACUGGCUUAUUUCUGUUAGCAUAAUGUCCCCAAGGUUAAUACACAUGUAGCAUAUUGCAGAGUUUGCUUCCUUUGUAAUGCUGAAUAAUAUUCUGUUGUAUGGAUAUACUACAUUUUGUGUAUCCAUUCAUGUGUCAGUGGACACUGGGGUUGUUUCCACGUUUUAGCUAUUGUGAAUAAUACUGCUAUAAACAUGGGUGUACAAAUAUCUCUUUAAGGCUCUGCUUUCAGAUCUUUUGGGUGUACAUCCAGAAGUGGAAUUGCUGGAUCAUGUGAUAAUUCUAUGUUCAAUUUUUUGAGGAACAUUCAUACUGUUUUCCAUAACGGCUGCACCAUUUUACAUUCCUAUCAACAGUGUACAUGGGUUCCCAUUUCACCGCAUCCUGUCCAACACAUGUUGUUUUCUGUCUUUCCUGUAGCACUCAUCUUAGUGGGUGUGAGGUGGUGUCUCAUUGUGGUUUUGAUUUGCAUUUCCCUAAUGGUUAGUGGUGUUGAGCGUCUUUUCAUGUGCUUAUAUGCCAUUCAUAAGUCUUUGGAGAACUGUCUCUUCAAGUCCUUUGCCCAUACUUGAAUUGGCUUGUUUUUUAGUUGUUCAGUUUUAAGACAUCUCUGUAUAUUGCGGAUACCAGUCUCUUGUCAGAAAUAUGAUUUGCAAAUAUUUUCACCCACUCUGUGGGUUGCCUUUUUACUCUAUGCACAGUGCCUCUUGAUGUACCAACUUAUGAAAUUCGUGGAGUCCAAUUUGUCCGUUGUUUUUCUUUUGUUACCUGUGCCUGUGGUGUCAUAUCCAAGAAAUCAUUGGCAAGUCCGGUGUCAUAAAGAUUUUGUCCUGUUUUCUUCUAAGAGUUUUCUUAUUUUAGGUCUUACAUUUAUAUCCUUGAGUUAAUUUUUGUAUAUGGUGUUGGAUAAGGGUCCAAGUUCAUUCUUUUGCAUGCAGAUAUCCAGUUUUCCCAGUACUAUUUGUUGACAAGAAACCUUUCUCCAUUGCAUGGUUUGGCACCCUUGUCAAAAAUCACUUGACCAUAUAUGUGAGGGUUUGUUUCUGGGCUAGCUAUUCUAUGCCAUUGGUCUCUAUGUCUGUCUUUAUGCCAA